Molecule: long non-coding RNA, 1061 nt
Organism: Rhincodon typus (whale shark)
Lineage: Eukaryota; Metazoa; Chordata; Chondrichthyes; Orectolobiformes; Rhincodontidae
Exons: 3
Source: RefSeq, a predicted model, not a curated record
UAGACCUGCACAUGCACAUUGCCAAUGCAAUGAUCCCCACAGAUUUGGGAAACGGUGUGCCAAAGCGGAUGGGAACUGUGACUAUGUUGCGAUUGAAAAUUGAAAAGUCCAAGGCUACUCUACACUGAAAAAAGAGGACAGCCACAACGACGGCCUGACAAUGAGCUUCGGAGAUCUUCAGAAAACAUUUACGACCAAUAACAGACUUCAACCUGCUCUAUUUCAACCAUUGCACAUCUUGCAAAAUGAGGUUAAAAGUCAUUAUGCACAACAAGGAUUCAGCCAACAAGGACGCAAUACAACGACACAAAUGCGUUGAUAAGAAUAUUUCCAACAAGGAUUUUUAAACGGUGACUUUUUUAAAAUAAGAAAACUGUCCGCCAGUUCAUGCCACUCAUUUUCGUAUCUAUCAAAUAUGAAAGGCAGACUUUCCAGUUAGUGCUUUUAAAUUAAUUUAACUUGGAAAAUUAUAAAGCCAAAAAUAGCGAAGUGAAAAUCUUGCUCGUGACAUAAUUAAUUUUUCAAUCUUUCAGUCGAUCAGCCAAGACCCGAGGAAGACAAGUAAAGCUUUAUUUUCUCUUUCAUCCUCUGUAUUCCGGAGAAAAUAUAGGAUACUCGUGUUUUCAUGAUGGACUCAAUGUGUUCGGGAACGUAGAAAUCCGAUGCAACCUAUCUAGCCCAGCCGAUCUCCUUUGUUCAUCUCUAUGAAGUAGGGAGUUUGCCAGUUGCCAACUCCCGAAGUGCAAAAGCAUGCGUCAUUUUUCACCCAGUUCGUCUCAUCCUCAAAAGACAACUAUCAAACCAGCCCUCAGCCCUUUUAGGCAUUAAUUACUUUGCUAUCCAACCGAUCUGUUUUUCCUAUUAUUUGCAUUUCGCAGCAGGGAUGUUUUUGCAAGACUAAUGCAGCUGCGAGUAGCUAUGAAUGCAUUUCUCACUGUAAGGGCGAAAUAGGUAAGCAGAAUAGAUGUGUUCCUCCAAAAAUAAGGAUAGAUUAAUACAUGUAAAACUUCUACAUCUUUGUUUUGAUGAAUAGCAAACAAAAGUUUAUGAGUUGCAUGCUA